Molecule: ribosomal RNA, 399 nt
Filed under: uncultured eukaryote
Lineage: Eukaryota
Description: SSU rRNA
Rfam family: Eukaryotic small subunit ribosomal RNA
Source: RNAcentral
CAAGAGCGUAUAUUAAAGUUGUUGCAGUUAAAAGCUCGUAGUUGGAUUUCUGGUACAACGCGCCUGGCCCGCUUUUGUGAGUGCCGGUGCGCGUUUGCCAUCCUUCUAGAAAACGUUUCUACCCGGGUAACUGGGCUGGACUCGCGAUCUAGAUCUUUUACUUUGAAAAAAUUUAGAGUAGUUUAAAAGCAGGCUUUUGCUGUGAAUACAUUAGCAUGGAAUAAUAAUCUAGGACUUCGGUUCUAUUUUGUUGGUUUCUAGUACUGAAGUAAUGAUUGAUAGGGAUAGUUGGGGGUGCUAGUAUUGGCCGGCCAGAGGUGAAAUUCUUGGAUUCGGUCAAGACUAACUUAAUGCGAAAGCAUUCACCAAGGAUGUCUUCUUUAAUCAAGAACGAAAGUU